RNAcentral lists this ribosomal RNA (253 nucleotides) under uncultured bacterium. RNAcentral's name for it is "partial 16S ribosomal RNA". It matches the Rfam family "Bacterial small subunit ribosomal RNA", at positions 524 to 776 of the family's 1533-position model. The record is from RNAcentral.
AACGUAGGACACAAGCGUUAUCCGGAGUUACUGGGCGUAAAGGGCGUUUAGGCGGGUGAUUAAGUUCGCUAUGAAAGCGCCAGGCUAAACCUGGCGAGGCUGGCGGAUACUGGUCAUCUGGAGUGAGUCAGAGGAAGGUAGAAGUCCGCGUGUAGUGGUGAAAUGCGUAGAGAUGCGGAGGAAUACCAGUGGCGAAGGCGGCCUUCUGGGACUCAACUGACGCUGAAGCGCGAAAGCAUGGGGAGCGAACGGG